UUGUAAUGUGGCUUAGGUUACAAGAAAGGAUAUGAUUCAGAGAAUUCAACCAAAUUGCUUAUCCUAAGGGAGCAUUCCCAAAGAUUCACUCUACACAAUUUCCUUUUCUUUGAUCCCUAACUUUUUCUUUUUCUUUUUCUUUUCAAAUCCACACAACCAUGAGCAUUUCCUUUGCUUUUCUUUUUCUAAUUUUUCUAUGCUCUAUGGUUUCAAGGGUGAUUUCUUUUUCUUGUUUCUUUUUAUUUUUUUACCCUUUCAUAGAAACUCACUUUUCCAAGUUUCUACUCAACUUUUCAUUAAACUCUCCCCAACUUUAGAUUCCAAAACCAAAUGUAUUCAAUAAUGCUCCCUACUUAGAUAUAAGCAAAAGGCAAAAUUUUGCAAACAACUCGGUUUGAGGUUUCAACUGAUACGAAAGAAAUUAGGAUUCACUUAUUCCACAAUUUUCAAUUGAUUUUACAAUGAUCAAUCAAAUGAAUCCUAAAAUAAGCUCAAAGGGGGUUAACUAAGGAU
Molecule: long non-coding RNA, 513 nt
Filed under: Lathyrus oleraceus (garden pea)
Lineage: Eukaryota; Viridiplantae; Streptophyta; Magnoliopsida; Fabales; Fabaceae
Description: Pisum sativum (pea) long non-coding RNA (PSAT_LNC025839)
Source: RNAcentral